Long non-coding RNA from Ictalurus punctatus (channel catfish), 1087 nucleotides. The record is from Ensembl. NCBI's taxonomy places the organism in Eukaryota, Metazoa, Chordata, Actinopteri, Siluriformes, Ictaluridae.
GAAAUGAUGACGUCACGCCCUCCGUCCUCUGGAUACUCGGCAGCCGCCAUUUUCAUUUGGAGUCCGUCCUGAUAUUAUUUUCAAGACGUAGAAAUAUGUCAAGACGUAAUCCCAUCCGCGCUGAUGAAGAUGACAGUGAUGGCGGGUGUUGGUCAGCUGUCUGCCUUACGAUCCGUACAGUUCUGUCAUUGGCCUGGAAGAAGCUCCGAGCCGUUUUCAACCAUCCAGAUGAUGGAGUGAAACUGUCAGUGGAGGAGACGGAACCAGCACGGACCCAGAGCUCAGUGCGACCGUUCUACUCCGACUACGAUGGACCAGAUUCUCCAGCGGUUGUUGGACAUCUGUCUGUCUGCAGAUUAACGCCGUGGAAGAGGAGCAGGAACCUGUUCACGCGUCAAGAUGAUGAUGUGAGAGCCGGAGGAGGAAACGUUCCAGGCUCCGUCCAGCCGUUCUCAACGAACUUCAGAACCUACGACGCGUUAGACACCGACCCGACUCAGUCUGACCUCACACUGUUUGAUUGUAAUAUACGUGUUACAAAUUAAAAAUGCAUAUUGUGGACAUCUAAUCGUCUAAUUAUUGCGUUCAUCAUCACAGUAAACUAUCAAUUCUUCUAUUCAGUAACAAACACAGUAACUAACACUCGUAUUAACUGCUUGCUUUUAAUAAUACACUAACCGAGCUGAAUAAUCACAAUUAAACCCACACACAACAGCUUGGGUCAUGCCUCUGUUCAAUUCUCAAUACUGUGAUGACAGAACAGAUCUACUCCACUGGACUUGGACUGUGUGAGUGCAAAUAAUUUACACACCCUGUGAAGUGGUCCUGGACUUCUGAAUCUCAGUAUUUCCGGCACGCGCUGACUCACUCACAGUGCACCUGGAUGAAACUAUGACUCAGUUACUUAAUGCCCCUCUUGUACCUCUCACACGGUGUACCUGCACUUUACAAACCUGCAUCAGUCACUUUCUAUUCAUGGAACUCAUUUAGCUGCCAGUACUGCUGCUGUACGUAUUGCUCCUACACUAUUCGAUAGUUUAUAGUUACAGCCCAUGUCCUGUUUAUUUACUGCCCUGUGUCACCAUGG